RNAcentral lists this transfer RNA (77 nucleotides) under Actinomycetes bacterium. RNAcentral's name for it is "tRNA-Val". It matches the Rfam family "tRNA". From Rfam's summary of the family: Transfer RNA (tRNA) molecules are approximately 80 nucleotides in length. Their secondary structure includes four short double-helical elements and three loops (D, anti-codon, and T loops). The record is from RNAcentral. Lineage: Bacteria; Bacillati; Actinomycetota; Actinomycetes. RNAcentral also lists the same sequence under 1 other name.
GGGCGCAUAGCUCAGCUGGUUAGAGCACUGGUCUUACAAACCAGUGGUCGGGGGUUCGAGUCCCUCUGCGCCCACCA